UACGGGAGGCAGCAGUGGGGAAUUUUGGACAAUGGGCGCAAGCCUGAUCCAGCAAUGCCGCGUGAGUGAAGAAGGCCUUCGGGUUGUAAAGCUCUUUCAGUCGAGAAGAAAAGGUUGUGACUAAUAAUCACAACUCAUGACGGUAUCGACAGAAGAAGCACCGGCUAACUACGUGCCAGCAGCCGCGGUAAU
Molecule: ribosomal RNA, 192 nt
Filed under: uncultured bacterium
Lineage: Bacteria
Description: partial 16S ribosomal RNA
Rfam family: Bacterial small subunit ribosomal RNA
Source: RNAcentral